UAAAAUUGUAAGAUCUGAUUGAGGUUUAUGUCAGGACUUGUAAAAUUAACUUUUUUAAAUUGGGCUUUAUUUUAGGUUGUACUAGUUCAGUUAUACAUGGCUUUUAAUGUAGUGAUUUUAUGGGGGAAAAGUUGUUUAGAGCAAGCCAAGCUAAAUUUAGUUUGUUGGUAGCAUAAAGAGCUUCAAAAAAGAUGUAUAGAUAUAUAUAUAUAUUUUCAAUUUCUUCUGUAGAAACAGUUGCAUGGCAAGUCAAAACACUGUUCUAGCAGAGCCAGACAGGAACCCCACCAUCACUCCACAGUGGGAAACCUCUGUGAUGCGUAUGCCCAGGAUGCUCUCAGAUCAGAGAGAAAAGUCGCUCACUCAGCUCAGAAGAGUUCAAGAAGGCUUUCAGGGGAAAUUAUGUUUUGACAAGUAAAUCAAAUGUUUACUAAAAAUAGAAACUUCAAAAAUUAUUAUUCAUGAUGUUUUCAUAAUUCUCUAGUUUGAAGACACAAUACUGGAUUGGUGGCACAAUAUUCAUUUAGAUGUGAGGCACUGGUCUGGUUGAAAAGUCAGUUGAAUUUUAUUAUAUUUUGUAUUUUUUGUCCCUCUUAGAAUUAUUUAAAUUUUUAAGUAGUUUUUUUAUAGCUGUUUUUAACUUUACAGCAAAAUUUAGUGAAAGUAUGGAGAGUUCCCAUAAAAAAAACAGGGAAAUAUCUGAACAGCAGCUUCACCAAAGAAGAUACACAAAUGACAAGUAAGUAUAGGAAAAGAUGAUCUACUUCAUAUGCCAUUAGGGAAUUUUAAUUUAAAACAACAAGAGAUACACCUACACAGCUAUUAUAAGGUCCAAAACACUGACAAUAUCAAAUGUUGGCAAGGAUGUGGAGCAACGGGAACUCUCAUUUAUGGCCCAUGGGAAUGCAAAAUGGUACAACCACUUUGCAAAAUAGUUUAGUGGUUUCUAACAAAACUGAAAGUACCCUGACUAUAUGAUCCAGCAAUCAUGCUCCUUGUCAUUUACCCAAAUGAGUUGAAAACUUGUGUCCAUGCAAAAACCCACAUGUGGAUGUUUAUAGCUGCCCUUUAUGCAUAAUUUUCCAAAUUUGGAAGCAGUCAAUAUGUCCUCCAGCAGGUGAACAGAUUAAUAAACUGUGGCACCACCAGACAAUGGAAUAUUAUUCAGCACUAAAAUCAAAAUUAACUAUCAUGUCAUGAAAAGAUAUGGAGGAAUCAGCACAUUGCUAAGUGAAAUAACCCAAUCUGAAAAGGCUCCAAACUGUAUGAUUUCAACUAUGUGACAUUCUGGAAAAGGCAAAACUGUGGGGAGAGUAAAAAGAUUGGUAGUUUGCUCAGGACUGGGGAGGGAGGAGAAAGGAGGGCUGAACAGGAUUACGGGAGAUUUUCAGGGCAGUGAAACUGAUCUGUAUGAUAGUAUUAAUAUAAUUGUGGAUACAUUCAUUAUAUAUUUGUCUAAACCCAUAGAAUGCACAACACCAAGAGUGACAUCUAAUGUACUUUGGGUAACAAUGACGUGUCAAUGUUGGCUUAUGGAUUGCGACAAAUGCACCACUCUGGAAGAUGUUUUAUUGACAUGCCAUGUUGCCCAGGCAGGUAGGUCGAGUCUACGGGAGAAGGUAAGUGGCCGCCGUGGGAAGAUUCUAGUCUGCUCAACUCAUGGGCCAACUCCCCAACCCAUAUGACAUGUUUUACUGGCAUUUCUUUCGAAAUUUAUUACAGUUACUGCAUAACUCAAAUUUUUAUUUUUCCUUUUUGUAAGCCAUUGUUGGUUCUUACGGUGGCAUAUUGGUUUCAUAUACUUUAGAAGUCCCAGGGUUAUUUAAGAAUCACUGUCCUUGAUUGUAGGUAUUGGUAAAAGCACAAUUAUGUAUUCUAAUUAGUUACUCUUGAUAGUUACUCCUACUAAUGAGAGCUUCUCAUUUAUCUCAGAAUUUCCAAAGUCAAAGUCCUGAUUUUUAGUGUCUACCCUCCCAGUGUUUACAUGUUUUAACUAUAGGAUAACUUGGUGAUUUUGGACUAUUUUCUGUGGCAAUUUAUUUCAGCUCUGUAAGAAAUGAAUUUUUGAUCAUUGAUAAGAACUAAAAUCUAGUCAAACAGUUCUGCUAGUAAUCAGUUCGACUUAAAAACAAACUGACAAAAGAACAGGCAAAUUCUGGUCUAAUCUCUCUGAGCACCAUACCGUGGUAUGUGCUCUCUUCUUCUUUUAACUUAAAAGAUACAGCCCCGAGCAGUUGGGAAUGCGAUCUAGUUUUGUUGCUUUGCAGGACACCUAGGUACAGUGUCCCGUGUGGUGUUGUCAGAGGUGUUUGAAGCAGAGGAACUCCAUCUUGAGUAGCAGCUGUGUAAAAUGAGGCCGAGAGGCACUGGGCUGCCUUCUUAGGAGGUCGGGCAUUCUUAGUCACAGGAUGAGAUAGGAGGUCGGCACAAGAUACAGGUCACAAAGACCUUGCUGAUACAGCAAGUUGCAGUACAGAAGCCGGCCAAAACCCACCAAAACCAAGGUGGGACCACAGUAACCUCUGGUUGUCCUCAUUGCUCAUUAUAUGUUAAUUAUAAUGCGUUAGCACGCUGUUAGUAAAAGACACUCCCAGCAGCACCAUGACAGUUUGCAAAUGCCAUGGCAACGUCAGGAAGUUACCCUAUAUGGUCUAAAAAAAAAAGGAGGAACUCUCAGUUCUGGGAAUUGCCCACCCCUUUCCUGGAAAACUCAUGAAUAAUCCACACCUUGUUUAGUGUAUAAUGUAGAAGUAACGAUCAGUAUAAGCAGCUGAGC
RNAcentral lists this long non-coding RNA (2776 nucleotides) under Homo sapiens (human). Its description in RNAcentral is "non-protein coding lnc-IRF4-18:2". Lineage: Eukaryota; Metazoa; Chordata; Mammalia; Primates; Hominidae. The record is from RNAcentral.